Long non-coding RNA from Nematostella vectensis (starlet sea anemone), 124 nucleotides. RefSeq lists it as uncharacterized. The transcript is spliced from 2 exons. NCBI's taxonomy places the organism in Eukaryota, Metazoa, Cnidaria, Anthozoa, Actiniaria, Edwardsiidae. The record is from RefSeq and is a predicted model, not a curated record.
UUUACAACAAAAGCGAACAACACAACAACAACAGAAAGCGAAAAAAAAACUGCCAAGGUAAAACCAACCAGCGACUACCUGAGGGCCAUGAUUGAUUCUAAAGGCUGGAAGGCAUAAUAAUAGG